This 76-nucleotide transfer RNA is filed under the name Salmo salar (Atlantic salmon). It matches the Rfam family "tRNA", at positions 8 to 63 of the family's 71-position model. Rfam says of the family: Transfer RNA (tRNA) molecules are approximately 80 nucleotides in length. Their secondary structure includes four short double-helical elements and three loops (D, anti-codon, and T loops). Lineage: Eukaryota; Metazoa; Chordata; Actinopteri; Salmoniformes; Salmonidae. The record is from Rfam by way of RNAcentral.
UGGCUCAGUUGGUAGAGCAUGGUGUUUGCACACCAUGCUGGCGUUGCAACGCCAGGGUUGUGGGUUCGAUUCCCAC